AAAUUUUAAAUUAAAUUCAAAAAAUAAAAUUUAAGAAAUUUUGUAUCUGGAAAGUCAGAAGAAAAGUUACAAUUCCAAUAAAAGAAUAUUAAGAGUUUUUUCAAAAGAGAAGCUACAGCUAGAUGAGAUUUAAAAUAAAAGAAAUGGCUGAACUCUAGUAAGAGAUCAAAAACAUAAAAAAUGAAGCAAUGCGUGAUCAAAAUGAAACCCAAAAGCCAUGAGGUGAGAAGCUAAAAACCUGUUGGUAAAUGAAGCUAACAAUGACAUAGGAUUUGUAAACAUUAUAAAAUAAAAGGAAAAAUAUGUAGGAUAAAAUGAAAAUGGAAAGUUUUUCAAUUUGGAGUCAGGUGUAAGACAAAGCGGGUGAGGAGGAACAGACCAGACAAUAAGUUCCUGUGGACAUGGUUUCCAGCGACUGCUCCUCCUUCUCCCAGUCAGUGACCUCCACCUCAAGGGGUGCCAUUUAUUUUGGGGGUGGGGGUGAAGAGCCAGGUGGCAGAAAGUCAAGAGCUCCUCUUACCCCCUUGUCCUAGACAUCACCCCCCACCCCCUGACUCUUGGUGUGGUCUAACCCUGACGGUAUUUCUCCUCGCUCCUUAAUUCAUCUUACCUAUGAGAGGCCCCGAGGAAAGGAAUUUUCCAGAGCCACUGCAGCCCUGAGGCAGAAGAAAGAGCCCCAGAUCCUGCUGUGACAUUCACCCUCCUAUUUUCACAGGAAAAGGAGAAGACAUGAAAAUAGAUGAUGCUGCAGGUCUGACCACACUACGUAAGCAGCAGCAGGUAGAAUCCUCUGCAGAAAGUCCCAUGCUAAGCAAAUCUGGCCAAGGAAAUCUGACCUUUGCAGCGAGAGGCAACACUGCGGUGCCACACAUCUGCAGGAAAGUCUGGGAAAGACAGGUGGGUAAAUAAAAUGGAGGUGGGAUAACAGGGUGAAUUUGGAAGCCAGCAGUUGUGGGGGAAACACAGCUUUACCCUCUCAGGGUUCUUUUUGGCUGGGCCUGAGAAUUAAACUGACACAGACAGAUCUACAGGAGAAACAUGCGCACGUUUAUUUAAUGCAAGUUUUAUGUGACACGGGAGCCUUCACAAGGAAUGAAGAACCAAAGAAAUGGCGAAGACUACUUGCUUUUCUAUUAGGUUGAACAAAGAGAAGCAAUUGUGGAGCUGCAGGGAAAGGCUAAAGGCAGAUAAGAAUUGUUUUAACAAGGUCUGUUUGUGUAGCAGAAUUCUCUCCAACCCAGCUUAUCCGGGAUGAUAAGAAUGUUGCUCUCCUCCUGGUACAAGGAAGACAACUUUCCUAUGGGAAUCUCAUCUCCUGCUUUUAAGAAAAAGAAGGAAGGUUAGAAUGUGUUUCUUGUAUUUGCUGUUUGAAGUGCCUUGACUUCAGAAGAGUCAAUAUGGCAGAGAGGCAUAUCUGGGGUGGCUUGUUCUGAACCCCUUCACCGUGCAGCAUGAGGGGAGGCUGCAUAGGUGGCCGUUAAGAGCAUUAGGCUUCUGGCCAGCCUGGGUUCGAAUCCUGGCUCUGUCACUUCCCAGCUAUACCUCUGGGAGCGAGUUCUUUAUUCUCUACUUUUGGUGGCUUCAUCUGAAAAUAGCACUUACUUCAUGGAGUUGUGAGAAUUAGAUGAGUUAAUGGAUAUAGAACAUUUAGCACCAUGCCUGGCCUAUAGUAUGUGCUUAAUAAACAUUAGUAUCAUUAUUCA
Molecule: long non-coding RNA, 1703 nt
Filed under: Felis catus (domestic cat)
Lineage: Eukaryota; Metazoa; Chordata; Mammalia; Carnivora; Felidae
Description: lncRNA (ENSFCAG00000048187.1)
Source: RNAcentral